RNAcentral lists this ribosomal RNA (440 nucleotides) under uncultured bacterium. Its description in RNAcentral is "partial 16S ribosomal RNA". It matches the Rfam family "Bacterial small subunit ribosomal RNA", at positions 338 to 795 of the family's 1533-position model. The record is from RNAcentral.
CCUACGGGUGGCAGCAGUGGGGGAUAUUGCACAAUGGGGGAAACCCUGAUGCAGCGACGCCGCGUGGGUGAAGAAGCGCCUCGGCGCGUAAAGCCCUGUCAGCAGGGAAGAAAAUGACGGUACCUGAAGAAGAAGCCCCGGCUAACUACGUGCCGGCAGCCGCGGCAAUACGUAGGGGGCCAGCGUUAUCCGGAUUUACUGGGGGUAAAGGGGGCGCAGACGGCGAUGCAAGCCAGGAGUGAAAGCCCGGGGCCCAACCCCGGGCGUGCUCUUGGAACUGGGUGGCGAGAGUGCAGGAGGGGCAGGCGGAAUUCCUGGUGUAGCGGUGAAAUGCGUAGAUAUCAGGAGGAACACCGGUGGCGAAGGCGGCCUGCUGGGCUGCAACUGACGUUGAGGCCCGAAGGCGUGGGGAGCAAACAGGAUUAGAUACCCCUGUAGUC